This 442-nucleotide ribosomal RNA is filed under the name uncultured bacterium. RNAcentral's name for it is "bacterial SSU rRNA". It matches the Rfam family "Bacterial small subunit ribosomal RNA", at positions 338 to 795 of the family's 1533-position model. The record is from RNAcentral.
CCUACGGGGGGCUGCAGUGGGGAAUAUUGCACAAUGGGGGAAACCCUGAUGCAGCGACGCCGCGUGAAGGAAGAAGGUUUUCGGAUCGUAAACUUCUAUCAGCAGGGAAGAAGGAAGUGACAGUACCUGACUAAGAAGCCCCGGCUAACUACGUGCCAGCAGCCGCGGUAAUACGUAGGGGGCGAGCGUUAUCCGGAAUUACUGGGCGUAAAGGGUGCGUAGGCGGCCUUUUAAGUCAGAUGUGAAAGGCUACGGCUUAACCGUAGUUAGCAUUUGAAACUAGAAGGCUUGAGUGCAGGAGAGGAGAGUGGAAUUCCUAGUGUAGCGGUGAAAUGCGUAGAUAUUAGGAGGAACACCAGUGGCGAAGGCGACUCUCUGGACUGCAACUGACGCUGAGGCACGAAAGCGUGGGGAGCGAACAGGAUUAGAUACCCGGGUAGUC